RNAcentral lists this ribosomal RNA (342 nucleotides) under uncultured bacterium. RNAcentral's name for it is "bacterial SSU rRNA". It matches the Rfam family "Bacterial small subunit ribosomal RNA", at positions 1 to 334 of the family's 1533-position model. The record is from RNAcentral.
AGUAGACGUUCAGAGUUUGAUCCUGGCUCAGGAUGAACGCUAGCGAUAGGCUUAACACAUGCAAGUCGAGGGGCAGCACGGAAUAGCAAUAUUUUGGUGGCGACCGGCGCACGGGUGAGUAACACGUAUGCAACCUACCCAUGACAGUGGAAUAACCCGUCGAAAGGCGGACUAAUACCGCAUAAUAAAGAGUGCUCGCAUGGGUACUUUUUCAAAGAUUUAUCGGUCAUGGAUGGGCAUGCGUUCCAUUAGGUAGUUGGCGGGGCAACGGCCCACCAAGCCUGCGAUGGAUAGGGGUUCUGAGAGGAAGGUCCCCCACACUGGUACUGAGACACGGACCAG